RNAcentral lists this ribosomal RNA (506 nucleotides) under uncultured bacterium. RNAcentral's name for it is "partial 16S ribosomal RNA". It matches the Rfam family "Bacterial small subunit ribosomal RNA", at positions 28 to 523 of the family's 1533-position model. The record is from RNAcentral.
GGUGAACGCUAGCUACAGGCUUAACACAUGCAAGUCGAGGGGUAACGAGAGGAAAGCUUGCUUUCCUUGUCGACGACCGGCGCACGGGUGAGUAACGCGUAUCCAACCUGCCCCCAACUAGGGAAUAACCUUGCGAAAGUAAGACUAAUACCCUAUAAUUUCCUCAGAUGACAUCUGACGAGGAAUAAAGAUUUAUCGGUUGUGGAUGGGGAUGCGUCUGAUUAGCUUGUUGGCGGGGUACCGGCCCACCAAGGCAACGAUCAGUAGGGGUUCUGGGAGGAAGGUCCCCCACAUUGGAACGGAGACACGGUCCAAACUCCUACGGGAGGCAGCAGUGAGGAAUAUUGGUCAAUGGGCGGAAGCCUGAACCAGCCAAGUAGCGUGCAGGAUGACGGCCCUAUGGGUUGUAAACUGCUUUUAUACAGGAAUAAAGUUAGCCACGUGUGGUUAUUUGUAGGUACUGUAUGAAUAAGGACCGGCUAAUUCCGUGCCAGCCGCCGCCGUAA